UACGGAGGAUCCAAGCGUUAUCCGGAUUUAUUGGGUUUAAAGGGUGCGUAGGCGGCCUAUUAAGUCAGGGGUGAAAGACGGUAGCUCAACUAUCGCAGUGCCCUUGAUACUGAUAGGCUUGAAUUAACUAGAGGUAGGCGGAAUGUGACAAGUAGCGGUGAAAUGUUUAGAUAUGUCACAGAACACCGAUUGCGAAGGCAGCUUACUAUGGUUUUAUUGACGCUGAGGCACGAAAGCGUGGGGAUCAAACAGG
RNAcentral lists this ribosomal RNA (253 nucleotides) under uncultured Pedobacter sp. Its description in RNAcentral is "partial 16S ribosomal RNA". It matches the Rfam family "Bacterial small subunit ribosomal RNA", at positions 524 to 776 of the family's 1533-position model. Lineage: Bacteria; Pseudomonadati; Bacteroidota; Sphingobacteriia; Sphingobacteriales; Sphingobacteriaceae. The record is from RNAcentral.